Cricetulus griseus (Chinese hamster) is the source of this 106-nucleotide microRNA precursor. Lineage: Eukaryota; Metazoa; Chordata; Mammalia; Rodentia; Cricetidae. The record is from Ensembl.
GAAAUGCCUCCAUGAGAUCCAGCUGUAAGGCAUUUUCUCAAUUAGUGAUUAAUGGGGGAGGGUCCAGUCUGUGGUGGGUGGGGCCAUCCCUGGGUUGGCAGUCCUG